GCGCAGGAAAAGAAACCAACAGGGAUUGCCCCAGUAACGGCGAGUGAAGCGGCAACAGCUCAAAUUUGAAAUCUGGCUUCGGCCCGAGUUGUAAUUUGCAGAGGAAGCUUUAGGCGCGGCACCAUCUGAGUCCCCUGGAACGGGGCGCCAAAGAGGGUGAGAGCCCCGUAUAGAUGGACGCCUAGCCUGUGUAAAGCUCCUUCGACGAGUCGAGUAGUUUGGGAAUGCUGCUCAAAAUGGGAGGUAAAUUUCUUCUAAAGCUAAAUAUUGGCCAGAGACCGAUAGCGCACAAGUAGAGUGAUCGAAAGAUGAAAAGCACUUUGAAAAGAGGGUUAAAUAGCACGUGAAAUUGUUGAAAGGGAAGCGCUUGUGACCAGACUUGCGCCGGGCGGAUCAUCCGGUGUUCUCACCGGUGCACUCCGCCCGGCUCAGGCCAGCAUCGGUUCUCGUGGGGGGAUAAAGGGGGCGGGGGCGAAGUUCCACCUAGGGGAUUUAACAAAGGGGGUUUAUAACGGCUUGGGGGGCCAAGGAGUACGGGGGUUUUGCCCAGGUUGGGGGGCCUAAGGGCCAGGGAGACUCACGAGGGUGGCAGCCCCCGAAACACUGUCUUCUAGGAUAUUUACAACCUGUGGUUCGGAAUGCAAGAAUCCAAAAUUUCGAGAUUGUUGGCGGCUUCCACUGGGGCGAUUACUGGGGGGGCAAUCCACUGGAUGGGUUUCCUGUUUGCUUGGCCGGUAAGGGACUUUUGAGAAGGCAUCCCCACGGGGGUAACCGGCAUUGUCCGGGU
Molecule: ribosomal RNA, 787 nt
Filed under: uncultured Zopfiella
Lineage: Eukaryota; Fungi; Ascomycota; Sordariomycetes; Sordariales; Chaetomiaceae
Description: eukaryotic LSU rRNA
Rfam family: Eukaryotic large subunit ribosomal RNA
Source: RNAcentral